AGCAGUGGGGAAUAUUGCGCAAUGGGGGAAACCCUGACGCAGCAAUGCCGCGUGAGUGAGGAAGGCCUUCGGGUUGUAAAGCUCUGUCAGAUGGGAAGAACAGCAGUUGGUCCAAUAGGCCUCUGUUUGACGGUACCUUCAAAGGAAGCACCGGCUAACUUCGUGCCAGCAGCCGCGGUAAUACGAAGGGUGCAAGCGUUGUUCGGAUUUACUGGGCGUAAAGCGCGCGCAGGCGGAUUGAUAAGUCAGAUGUGAAAUCUCGGGGCUCAACCCCGAAACUGCGUCUGAAACUGUUGAUCUAGAGUUAUGUAGGGGAGAAGGGAAUUUCGCAUGUAGGGGUUAAAUCCGUAGAGAUGCGAAGGAACACCAGAGCCGAAGGGGCUUCUCUGGGCAUACACUGACGCUGAGGCGCGAAAGCGUGGGUAGCGGCAUUUUGCCU
This 439-nucleotide ribosomal RNA is filed under the name Bacteriovorax sp. ZS4. RNAcentral's name for it is "bacterial SSU rRNA". It matches the Rfam family "Bacterial small subunit ribosomal RNA", at positions 350 to 789 of the family's 1533-position model. The record is from RNAcentral. Lineage: Bacteria; Pseudomonadati; Bdellovibrionota; Bacteriovoracia; Bacteriovoracales; Bacteriovoracaceae.